Toxorhynchites rutilus septentrionalis is the source of this 1503-nucleotide long non-coding RNA. RefSeq lists it as uncharacterized. Lineage: Eukaryota; Metazoa; Arthropoda; Insecta; Diptera; Culicidae. The transcript is spliced from 3 exons. The record is from RefSeq and is a predicted model, not a curated record.
AGCACUUUAUGGCGCUCGGUCGACAUCGGACCGAUAACCACUCGAAAAUAAUUUAGAGCGGGUGGUUUUAAAUUUUUCCAUGUGAGUUUAUGGAAGUAGUGAAAACUGUAUAAAUAAUGACAAUGGUUGAAUCAAAAAAGGAAAGUAUUUGAAGUAUUUGGAACGCAAAAUAUGCCACCCUUUGUUUGCAUAAUAAAAAGUGUAAAAAUAAAUACGUGAAACCGGGAAAUUUGAAGAAAAAUUCCAACAAAUUUUAAACCAAAACCAUCAUUUUACUCGUUGCGCCAUCUGGUUGUAAAUCUAACGUAAAUCCGUCAAUUGGUUGACCUAUGCAGCAAAAUUGAUUCUGUCAGGGGGUUUACCGAUUCAAUUCACAGUUGUAUCCAACACAUAUUUCGAAAUGUUUCGCAAAGCAAAGUAUCAGGGUUGCAAACCAAACCCAACUGACUGGGUUGUAACAAGCAAAUCAAAUACCUCUCAUCGCUUGCCUUCACUGACGAACUAACGAAAUUCUCAUCGACUCGAAAUACAUACAAGAGCCAAUGCUCUUGUCAAAGAAGCAGGUAAACUAACCGACGUCUUUUGGAAACCAUACCCAUAUGUUACAACUGCGAGUUUUGAAUUAUUCCGAAGAAUUGUCGAGAACCUAGUCCUCGAUGCAACCCAAGUGAACCAUGUUUAGUUAUACUGAGAACGAAGGACUUUGCCAGAUGCAAGAUCAUUACUGUCGCCUGAGGGCGACAUUCAACUGAACCACUAAUUCACUGAUGGAAACAAUUGAAAAUAAAUAAAACUAUAAAUCACCUCUACAAACUAUAUUUUAUUUAAUAACAGCUAUAAAAUGUCAGUAGUACUCAUUUAUAACAAUUACAGUGAAUUAGCGGUACAAUAUAUCUACAAUUGCAUUCUACAAAACACUCUGAACGUUGGCCAUUAGAACAGAUUUAUUGAGCUACAGAAUAAAUCCAGAAAAAACACUACAGAUUGGGACUACCACAAUUUUCGAGGUUUUCUUCCAUUGCCGAAACAUGGCCCGUGGUUAAAUCUUGCACUCUAUCACGCCUUAAUCCAUCCCGGGUAUGAUGUUUAUACAUGAUGCUGUACCUUGCACUGCCUUAAUGCCUCAUUGAAUCCUUCGCAUAGCGUUAUGUCAUGUUGAUUCUGGGCGCAGGACAGGAAUUGCUUGAUCUCCCAGGCACACGGUCCCGACGGGGUGCUAGCCUCUGAACCAGCCAUUGGAGCGUAUUGUUGGACCGGAGCGGCCUGGGCAACCGGUGCCGCCUCCUUCGAAUCCGAUCCACUGAACAUUCCAGUGAUAGCAUGCCCAACAGUAUGACCGACAGCGGAACCAAUUGCAACUCCACCAGCGGUAGCGGCCAUUUGGGCCAUCAAUCCAGGUCCCUGGCUAGGAGCUGCCAUCGGUGCACCAACGGCUGCCGGGGGAGCAUGCUGGACAACAGGUUGUGUAGGGGCAUGACGAGGUGGAGCAGACGCGGCAGGUGG